GGGGGUGAUGGUCGAGCGGCGUGACCAGGUCUUGAUGACCUGCUUCGUGCCCUUGUCGUUCUGAACGUCCACCUUUU
Molecule: transfer RNA, 77 nt
Filed under: Rhodococcoides trifolii
Lineage: Bacteria; Bacillati; Actinomycetota; Actinomycetes; Mycobacteriales; Nocardiaceae
Description: Rhodococcus trifolii tRNA-Ser
Source: RNAcentral